RNAcentral lists this ribosomal RNA (390 nucleotides) under uncultured bacterium. RNAcentral's name for it is "bacterial SSU rRNA". It matches the Rfam family "Bacterial small subunit ribosomal RNA", at positions 30 to 416 of the family's 1533-position model. The record is from RNAcentral.
AUUGAACGCUGGCGGCAUGCCUUACACAUGCAAGUCGAACGGCAGCAUGACGUGUAGCAAUACACGUUGAUGGCGAGUGGCGAACGGGUGAGUAAUAUAUCGGAACAUGUCCUGUAGCGGGGGAUAACCUAUCGAAAGAUGGACUAAUACCGCAUACGCUCUAUGGAGGAAAGCGGGGGUCGCAAGACCUCGCACUAUAGGAGUGGCCGANAUCGGAUUAGCUAGUUGGCGGGUAAAGCCCACCAAGGCGACGAUCCGUAGCUGGUCUGAGAGGAUGAUCAGCCACACUGGAACUGAGACACGGUCCAGACUCCUACGGGAGGCAGCAGUGGGAAUUUUGGACAAUGGGCGCAAGCCUGAUCCAGCCAUGCCGCGUGAGUGAAGAAGGCC